UGCUAUGGCCAUACCACCCUGAAUGUGCCCGAUCUUGUCUGAUCUUGGAAGCUAAGCAGGUUUGGGCCUGGUGAGUACUUGGAUGGGAGACUCCAGAGGUACCUCCUAAAAAACAAACAA
This 120-nucleotide ribosomal RNA is filed under the name Sorex araneus (European shrew). Lineage: Eukaryota; Metazoa; Chordata; Mammalia; Eulipotyphla; Soricidae. The record is from RNAcentral.